UUGCGCAAUCUGCACCUCUGAAACUCAAGAAGACAUCAUAAAUCUUUUGGGUUCCGAUGAAGAAGCCAUCAGAUGAUGGAGUUUACCAAUCGGCAACGACUAUUUGCUGAAAAUUUGAGACUCUGUUUUCAGGUAGUUCACCCCUAGGUAGCACCGACACGUUGCCGGAGCUUCCGAGACACGUUGACACACGCUCGGACACGCUUGGACACGUUCGGACACGCUUCGACACGCGUGUCCGAAAGGGUGGAGGCCGCGAGUGAAGGCGAGCCCGCGACGGCGAGAGACGGCCAGAGAAAGAGAAAAGAGUGAGGCGAGGGCCGUGAGGAGGAACUUCACGAGGGAGGCACUCGUGGGGGAGGGCGGCGUCGUCGAGUGGGGCGGCGGCGGCGGCAAGGGGGAGGAGGAGGAGUUCGCGGCGGUGUGCAGCCUCUCCGCGCACAGGGACCGCGCGUUCCGCCUUCUUUUCCGAUCCCUUCCACUGAAAUUUUUUCUGGGUUACUCCCUUUUCCGCUCCUUCGGCGAAUGCUGGUGCUUUUCUUGCGAGUCUUCAAUGCUUUCGGAGAUAGGCGUCGUGCGGUGAGGACUGAGGAGGAGGAGGAGAAGAAGGUGCCGUGCUGCUAGGGUUUUGAGAACUGUGAAGGAAAAUAAAAGAUUAAAAAAAGGAGCUUGCGUGUUGGAGGAAGGAGGAAAUGACAGGAGGGGAAGGGACGGCUGUCAGGUGGUGGGGAGGUAAAAAAACUAAAAAAAUUUGGGGGUGGGGUCUGUUGACGGAAAAAAAGGGAGGGAGUUUGGG
RNAcentral lists this long non-coding RNA (796 nucleotides) under Eucalyptus grandis. Its description in RNAcentral is "long non-coding RNA (EGRA_LNC002906)". Lineage: Eukaryota; Viridiplantae; Streptophyta; Magnoliopsida; Myrtales; Myrtaceae. The record is from RNAcentral.